GAUGAACGCUGGCGGCGUGUCUAAUACAUGCAAGUCGAGCGAACAGACGAGGAGCUUGCUCCUCUGACGUUAGCGGCGGACGGUUUAGUAACACGUGGAUAACCUACCUAUAAGACUGGGAUAACUUCGGGAAACCGGAGCUAAUACCGGAUAAUAUAUUGAACCGCAUGGUUCAAUAGUGUAAGACGGUUUUGCUGUCACUUAUAGAUGGAUCCGCGCCGCAUUAGCUAGUUGGUAAGGUAACGGCUUACCAAGGCGACGAUGCGUAGCCGACCUGAGAGGGUGAUCGGCCAAACUGGAAAUGAGACACGGUCAAGACUCCUACGGGAGGCAGCAGUAGGGAAUCUUCCGCAAUGGGCGAAAGCUUGACGGAGCAACGCCGCGUGAGUGAUGAAGGUCUGCGGAUAGUAAAACUCUGUUAAUAGGGAAGAACAAAUGUGUAAGUAAAUAUGCACGACUUGACGGUACCUAAUCAGAAAGCCAAGGCUAACUACGUG
RNAcentral lists this ribosomal RNA (497 nucleotides) under uncultured bacterium. RNAcentral's name for it is "partial 16S ribosomal RNA". It matches the Rfam family "Bacterial small subunit ribosomal RNA", at positions 28 to 507 of the family's 1533-position model. The record is from RNAcentral.